Molecule: ribosomal RNA, 470 nt
Filed under: uncultured Paenibacillus sp.
Lineage: Bacteria; Bacillati; Bacillota; Bacilli; Caryophanales; Paenibacillaceae
Description: bacterial SSU rRNA
Rfam family: Bacterial small subunit ribosomal RNA
Source: RNAcentral
GACGAACGCUGGCGGCGUGCCUAAUACAUGCAAGUCGAGCGGAGCUGUUCCUUCGGGGACAGCUUAGCGGCGGACGGGUGAGUAACACGUAGGUAACCUGCCCACAAGACUGGGAUAACGUCCGGAAACGGAUGCUAAUACCGGAUACUUAUACUGGAACGCAUGUUCCAGUACGGAAAGGCGGAGCAAUCUGCCGUUUGUGGAUGGGCCUGCGGCGCAUUAGCUAGCUGGUGAGGUAAUGGCUCACCAAGGCGACGAUCAGUAGCCGGUCUGAGAGGAUGAACGGCCACACUGGGACUGAGACACGGCCCAGACUCCUACGGGAGGCAGCAGUGGGGAAUCUUCCGCAAUGGACGAAAGUCUGACGGAGCAACGCCGCGUGAGUGAAGAAGGCUUUCGGGUCGUAAAACUCUGUUGCCAGAGAAGAACGUCCGGUGGAGUAACUGCCACCGGAGUGACGGUAUCUGAGA